UGUCUGGCUGACCGAAGAAGAACGCCGCGAAAACCGAACUCGUGUGCAGGAAUGGAGAGACCGUCUUAAGGCCGAACGCUGU
RNAcentral lists this ribosomal RNA (82 nucleotides) under Skeletonema grethae. RNAcentral's name for it is "partial 5.8S ribosomal RNA". Lineage: Eukaryota; Bacillariophyta; Thalassiosirophyceae; Thalassiosirales; Thalassiosiraceae. The record is from RNAcentral.